RNAcentral lists this ribosomal RNA (467 nucleotides) under uncultured bacterium. Its description in RNAcentral is "partial 16S ribosomal RNA". It matches the Rfam family "Bacterial small subunit ribosomal RNA", at positions 28 to 507 of the family's 1533-position model. The record is from RNAcentral.
GACGAACGCUGGCGGCGUGCUUAACACAUGCAAGUCGAACGGAAAGGCCCUGCUUUUGUGGGGUGCUCGAGUGGCGAACGGGUGAGUAACACGUGAGUAACCUGCCCUUGACUUUGGGAUAACUUCAGGAAACUGGGGCUAAUACCGGAUAGGAGCUCCUGCUGCAUGGUGGGGGUUGGAAAGUUUCGGCGGUUGGGGUUGGACUCGCGGCUUAUCGGCUUGUUGGUGGGGUAGGGCUUACCAAGGCUUUGACGGGUAGCCGGCCUGAGAGGGUGACCGGCCCCAUUGGGACUGAGCUGCGGCCCAGCCUCCUACGGGAGGCAGCAGUGGGGAAUAUUGCACAGUGGGCGGAAGCCUGAUGCAGCAACGCCGCGUGCGGGAUGACGGCCUUCGGGUUGUAAACCGCUUUCGCCUGUGACGAAGCGUGAGUGACGGUAAUGGGUAAAGAAGCACCGGCUAACUACGUG